GCUAUUUUGGCAGAGUUAAUGCGUUAGAUUUAGGAUUUAAUUAUGUGAUUUAUUACAAAUAGUA
RNAcentral lists this transfer RNA (64 nucleotides) under Scelimena sp. 1 JL-2023a. Its description in RNAcentral is "tRNA-Leu". It matches the Rfam family "tRNA". From Rfam's summary of the family: Transfer RNA (tRNA) molecules are approximately 80 nucleotides in length. Lineage: Eukaryota; Metazoa; Arthropoda; Insecta; Orthoptera; Tetrigidae. The record is from RNAcentral.